GCUUAGAGGUCCAAACCAAUCAAGCAUUGAAACGUGUCUUGUUUAGUUGGCCUAGACGGUUUGUGUUUCUUUCUGAAAACCCCAUGCGGUGAUUAUUACAAAUUAGUCUCAUGAUCUCUCGUUCCCCUCAUCUCAAAUCGAGUUCGUACCCCCCAUUUCCCCACGGUCAACUAAAAUUCCUAACCCUAGAAUUCUACCAGCGACGAAGGUCCACUGAUCACCCGCGUCGUCGUCGAGGCAAACAGAGAGAAGGGGGAGACGAAGAAGUAUGGGGGGCUUUUUGUGAAUUUUACGGGCAGCCUCUCUGCCUUUGUACCGGGGACCUGUGUACAAACCGUUCCAGCUCGGAGGGCCUUUUGCAAAAUUUCCACGGGCCCAAGGGGACUCCGUAGUUGGGCUAAAGUGCUCAUGUAUCUCAAUGUUUAGGAGUAGUUUUCCCAUUAUUAUAAGAAGUUGGACUUAAAUGGUCCUACCUCUCAAGUUGUUGGACCGGUGGUGCAAUUACCUUAUUUUCAUGCCGGAAGGCUGCAAGCCUACAACUGUCAGCCCGGUUGACUUUAGGGUUUGUUUAUUUGUGCCAUAUACAACCCUACAAAUGUUGGCAAGAUUUGGCUUACCAAUUUUUUGGUCAAGGAUUCCUUGGUCCUCACUUUGCCAAUUACUCCUUGCAAUUCUAAAUUCUUGUCGUGGUUUCAGUUCACAACAAGAAUUUAGGAUCGGAGGUAUAUACGAGAUAGAUGAGAUAGCUAGCUCUUCUCCGUCUCUCUACCUAUCUCUACAUUCUCUCCUCCUUAAACCCAUUCUCUUCUAAAAGAACCUACCCGCCAGCCAUUUCCGGCGUACGCCUCCGCCACGCCAACUCCAGCAACCACCGGCGGCACCACGUAGACGCCCCUCCCGCGGACCCCUACCUAUGUUCUCCCUCGGCUCGACGGUUCCUAGCCACCAGACCGAUGUCGUUUGCUAGAAGCGCCGGCGCUCGACAGAAGACCCCUCCACCCCGUCAACUCGCAGCUCUCUGGAUCUCUCCCUUUUAUUGGAGUCAUGAGCCGCUGCCUUAUCUCUCGGGCUCCCCGCUGACCGGAGGAUCGAUAUUGCAGUAGGCUCGGAGCAAGACGGCUUUUCCUAGAACUUUUUUUGGAACUCGAAGAACCGGUCCGGUUAUCUUAGAAUAACCGUGCUUUAUAUUAAACAAACAAAGUACCACUAGUACAAACACAUGCAGAAACAAAUAGACUGACCAGGAGAAGACAAUAGUCCAAGAAACAAUGCAGAGAAGACUCAAAAAAAAAUAAAAAAAAUACACAUAGUAUCUUAGGAGUCUCUGCACACAUAAAGCCGUCGCCAAAAUCCAGCGAUGCCGUGGCGCGCGUUGCAAAGAAGCACAAGCUCCAGCAAUGCAAGAUCCAGAGCAGCACCGUUGCCAAAGAGACUUUUUGAGCCGAUGAGCAAGCCCGCUGCAAACAAGGAGCCACUUAUCGAUGUUGUACGUCGACUGGAAAACACCUCUUUGCUGAACUGGAUCUGGAUCCGUCGCAUCUCACCAAAUAGAUCGGAAGAAAGUACUGGAUCUGUCACAAUCGAACCACAAUACCUUCUCCUGACCACCAUCUUUUCCUAGCCAUUGACGCCGCUACAGAAUACAACAAGCACCAGCGAACAAAGAGAGUACCACUAGGACAAACACAUGCGUAAACUAAUAGACUGGCCAGGAGAAGACAAGACACUACUACAAAACGGUCUAUAUCUCACGACCCAUCAGUAACGGGUCGGGCGUGACCGUGACUGAUGAAUAACAUCAGUGUCGGUUGCGUCCGCGACCGUUACUGAUGAAUAACAUCAGUGUCGGUCGUGGCCGCGACCGUUACUGAUGAACAGAGCGGGGUCUGUCAGUCCCC
Molecule: long non-coding RNA, 1898 nt
Filed under: Brachypodium distachyon (stiff brome)
Lineage: Eukaryota; Viridiplantae; Streptophyta; Magnoliopsida; Poales; Poaceae
Description: long non-coding RNA (BDIS_LNC000226)
Source: RNAcentral